UACGAGGAGCUUGCUCCGAACUAUUUAGUGGCGAACGGGUGAGUAUCACGUGAGCAACCUGCCCCGAAGACUGGGAUAACACCGGGAAACCGGUGCUAAUACCGGAUGUCUUUCAAUGAUCGCAUGAUCGAUGAAAGAAAUGUUUUUUCGCUUUGGGAGGGGCUCGCGGUCCAUCAGCUUGUUGGCGGGGUAACGGCCCACCAAGGCUACGACGGAUAGCUGGUCUGAGAGGACGAUCAGCCACACUGGAACUGAGACACGGUCCAGACUCCUACGGGAGGCAGCAGUGGGGAAUCUUGCGCAAUGGACGAAAGUCUGACGCAGCAACGCCGCGUGAGGGACGAAGGCUUUCUGAG
RNAcentral lists this ribosomal RNA (356 nucleotides) under uncultured bacterium. RNAcentral's name for it is "bacterial SSU rRNA". It matches the Rfam family "Bacterial small subunit ribosomal RNA", at positions 65 to 422 of the family's 1533-position model. The record is from RNAcentral.